RNAcentral lists this ribosomal RNA (408 nucleotides) under uncultured bacterium. RNAcentral's name for it is "partial 16S ribosomal RNA". It matches the Rfam family "Bacterial small subunit ribosomal RNA", at positions 28 to 526 of the family's 1533-position model. The record is from RNAcentral.
GUCGAACGCUGGCGGCGUGCUUAACACAUGCAAGUCGAACGAAGUGGCGCACGGGUGAGUAACGCGUAAUCAACCUCCCCUUCAGUGGGGGCCAACCGUUGGAAACGACUGCUAAUACCGCAUACUGAAGGAGGGGAUUGCGUCUGCUUCGCUCGGUGGCGGGGUAACGGCCCACCAAGGGGAUGAUCAGUAGACGGUCUGAGAGGAUGAACGGCCACAAUGGGAAUGAGACACGGGCCAGACUCCUACGGGAGGCAGCAGUGGGGAAACAUCCGAAAAGGAGGAAAGGCUGAAGGAGCAACGCCGGGUGAGUGAUGACAGCCUUCGGGUUGGAAAGCUCUGUUAAUCGGGACGCGGUACCGGAAGAGAAAGCAACGGCUAACUACGUGCCAGCAGCCGCGGUAAUAC